This 460-nucleotide ribosomal RNA is filed under the name uncultured bacterium. RNAcentral's name for it is "partial 16S ribosomal RNA". It matches the Rfam family "Bacterial small subunit ribosomal RNA", at positions 338 to 795 of the family's 1533-position model. The record is from RNAcentral.
CCUACGGGGGGCAGCAGUGAGGAAUAUUGGUCAAUGGGCGGAAGCCUGAACCAGCCAAGUCGCGUGAGGGAAUAAGGCCCUACGGGUCGUAAACUUCUUUUGCCGGGGAGCAAGGUCGGGGACGUGUCCCGUCCCGGAGAGUACCCGGAGAAAAAGCAUGGGCUAACUCCGUGCCAGCAGCCGCGGUAAUCCGGAGGAUGCGAGCGUUAUCCGGAUUUAUGGGGUUUAAGGGGUGCGUAGGCGGGCGUUUAAGUCAGCGGUAAAGAUUCGGGGCUCAACCCCGUCCGGCCGUUGAAACUGGGGGCCUUGAGUGGGCGAGAAGAAGGCGGAAUGCGUGGUGUAGCGGUGAAAUGCAUAGAUAUCACGCAGAACCCCGAUUGCGAAGGCAGCCUUCCGGAGCCCUACUGACGCUGAGGCACGAAAGUGCGGGGAUCGAACAGGAUUAGAUACCCGAGUAGUC